GACGAACGCUGGCGGCGUGCUUAACACAUGCAAGUCGAGCGGUAAGGCCCUUUCGGGGGUACACGAGCGGCGAACGGGUGAGUAACACGUGGGUGACCUGCCCUCAGCUCUGGGAUAAGCCUGGGAAACUGGGUCUAAUACUGGAUAUGACUCCGCGGUGCAUGUCGUGGGGUGGAAAGCCUGUGCGGCUGAGGAUGGGCCCGCGGCCUAUCAGCUUGUUGGUGGGGUGAUGGCCUACCAAGGCGACGACGGGUAGCCGGCCUGAGAGGGCGACCGGCC
Molecule: ribosomal RNA, 279 nt
Filed under: uncultured bacterium
Lineage: Bacteria
Description: partial 16S ribosomal RNA
Rfam family: Bacterial small subunit ribosomal RNA
Source: RNAcentral